RNAcentral lists this small RNA (86 nucleotides) under Rickettsia prowazekii. RNAcentral describes it as "partial sR20 non-coding RNA". Lineage: Bacteria; Pseudomonadati; Pseudomonadota; Alphaproteobacteria; Rickettsiales; Rickettsiaceae. The record is from RNAcentral.
AUUUGAUCUUGCUCUUGGUGGGGUUAACCAUGCGUAACUUGUUGCCAACUUACCGGUGUGCUCUUACCACACCUUUUCACCCUUAC